AAUGAAGUGCCUGAAAAAAAGGAUUAUUUUGAUAGAAUAAAAAAUGUAAAUUAUCUUACCUUCAUUA
RNAcentral lists this transfer RNA (67 nucleotides) under Leptocimbex clavicornis. RNAcentral's name for it is "tRNA-Ile". Lineage: Eukaryota; Metazoa; Arthropoda; Insecta; Hymenoptera; Cimbicidae. The record is from RNAcentral.